GGACGGGUGAGUAACGCGUGGGUAACCUGCCUUGUACAGGGGGAUAACAGUUGGAAACGGCUGCUAAUACCGCAUAAGCGCACGGCAUCGCAUGAUGCAGUGUGAAAAACUCCGGUGGUAUAAGAUGGACCCGCGUUGGAUUAGCUGGUUGGUGAGGUAACGGCCCACCAAGGCGACGAUCCAUAGCCGACCUGAGAGGGUGACCGGCCACAUUGGGACUGAGACACGGCCCAA
RNAcentral lists this ribosomal RNA (234 nucleotides) under uncultured bacterium. RNAcentral's name for it is "partial 16S ribosomal RNA". It matches the Rfam family "Bacterial small subunit ribosomal RNA", at positions 100 to 334 of the family's 1533-position model. The record is from RNAcentral.